RNAcentral lists this unclassified non-coding RNA (159 nucleotides) under uncultured fungus. RNAcentral's name for it is "sequence contains ITS1". Lineage: Eukaryota; Fungi. The record is from RNAcentral.
UUAACUAUUAUAUAGUACUCAGACGGCACAGAUUCAAGGGUUUAGGUCCUCCGGCCCGCGAGGGCCAAAGCAACUGAGGUUGGGUACGCACGGGGUGAGAAGGGGGCCCGGAGGCCGCGCCAUUCUUUAAUGAUCCUUCCGCAGGUUCACCUACGGAAA